UUGCAAAUGACAAUCGUGCUCCAGUAGCGAUGGCUGCGUAAGCAGUUUCAGCUUCUGAAACUUAACUCCUUAGGUUUAGCGACUUAAGGCGGGGUUCGCAGGUACCUGGCAACAGAAACCUGCACU
RNAcentral lists this transfer-messenger RNA (126 nucleotides) under Paracoccaceae bacterium. RNAcentral's name for it is "Rhodobacteraceae bacterium (marine metagenome) partial transfer-messenger RNA". It matches the Rfam family "Alphaproteobacteria transfer-messenger RNA", at positions 230 to 355 of the family's 355-position model. From Rfam's summary of the family: Bacterial tmRNA, also known as 10Sa RNA or SsrA, is named for its dual tRNA and mRNA-like properties. Its role is to liberate the mRNA from a stalled ribosome. The record is from RNAcentral. Lineage: Bacteria; Pseudomonadati; Pseudomonadota; Alphaproteobacteria; Rhodobacterales; Paracoccaceae.